GAUGAAGAACGUAGCGAAAUGCGAUAAGUAAUGCGAAUUGCAGAAUUUCCGUGAGUCAUCGAAUCUUUGAACGCACAUUGCGCCCGCCAGUAUUCUGGCGGGCAUGCCUGUCUGAGCGUCAUUUCAACCCUCAUGCCCCUAGGGCGUGGUGUUGGGGAUCGGCCAAAGCCCGCGAGGGACGGCCGGCCCCUAAAUCUAGUGGCGGACCCGUCGUGGCCUCCUCUGCGAAGUAGUGAUAUUCCGCAUCGGAGAGCGAUGAGCCCCUGCCGUUAAACCCCCAACUUUCCAAGGUUGACCUCAGAUCAGGUAGGAAUACCCGCUGAACUUAAGCAUAUCAAUAAGCGGAGGA
This 349-nucleotide unclassified non-coding RNA is filed under the name soil metagenome. Its description in RNAcentral is "partial contains 5.8S ribosomal RNA, internal transcribed spacer 2, and large subunit ribosomal RNA". The stretch from base 1 to 121 matches the Rfam family "5.8S ribosomal RNA", at positions 35 to 154 of the family's 154-position model. The record is from RNAcentral.